GACGAACGCUGGCGGCGUGCCUAAUACAUGCAAGUCGAGCGCAGGAAGCUGACGGAACUCUUCGGAGGGAAGGCAGUGGAAUGAGCGGCGGACGGGUGAGUAGCACGUAAGGAACCUACCUCAAGGAUUGGGAUAACUCCGAGAAAUCGGAGCUAAUACCGGAUAGUUCAACGGACCGCAUGGUCCGCUGAUGAAAGGCGCUCCGGCGUCACCUUGAGAUGGCCUUGCGGUGCAUUAGCUAGUUGGUGGGGUAACGGCCCACCAAGGCGACGAUGCAUAGCCGACCUGAGAGGGUGAUCGGCCACACUGGGACUGAGACACGGCCCAGACUCCUACGGGAGGCAGCAGUAGGGAAUCUUCCACAAUGGACGAAAGUCUGAUGGAGCAACGCCGCGUGAGUGAUGAAGGUUUUCGGAUCGUAAAACUCUGUUGUAAGGGAAGAACACGUACGAGAGGGAAUGCUCGUACCUUGACGGUACCUUACGAGAAAGCCACGGCUAACUACGUGCCAGCCGCCGCAGUAA
Molecule: ribosomal RNA, 524 nt
Filed under: uncultured bacterium
Lineage: Bacteria
Description: partial 16S ribosomal RNA
Rfam family: Bacterial small subunit ribosomal RNA
Source: RNAcentral